UUCGGCAUGGACGAAGUCUGACGGAGCACGCCGCGUGAGUGAUGAAGGUUUUCGGAUCGUAAAGCUCUGUUGUUAGGGAAGAACAAGUACCGUUCGAAUAGGGCGGUACCUUGACGGUACCUAACCAGAAAGCCACGGCUAACUACGUGCCAGCAGCCGCGGUAAUACGUAGGUGGCAAGCGUUGUCCGGAAUUAUUGGGCGUAAAGGGCUCGCAGGCGGUUUCUUAAGUCUGAUGUGAAAGCCCCCGGCUCAACCGGGGAGGGUCAUUGGAAACUGGGGAACUUGAGUGCAGAAGAGGAGAGUGGAAUUCCACGUGUAGCGGUGAAAUGCGUAGAGAUGUGGAGGAACACCAGUGGCGAAGGCGACUCUCUGGUCUGUAACUGACGCUGAGGAGCGAAAGCGUGGGGAGCGAACAGGAUUAGAUACCCUGGUAGUCCACGCCGUAAACGAUGAGUGCUAAGUGUUAGGGGGUUUCCGCCCCUUAGUGCUGCAGCUAACGCAUUAAGCACUCCGCCUGGGGAGUACGGUCGCAAGACUGAAACUCAAAGGAAUUGACGGGGGCCCGCACAAGCGGUGGAGCAUGUGGUUUAAUUCGAAGCAACGCGAAGAACCUUACCAGGUCUUGACAUCCUCUGACAAUCCUAGAGAUAGGACGUCCCCUUCGGGGGCAGAGUGACAGGUGGUGCAUGGUUGUCGUCAGCUCGUGUCGUGAGAUGUUGGGUUAAGUCCCGCAACGAGCGCAACCCUUGAUCUUAGUUGCCAGCAUUCAGUUGGGCACUCUAAGGUGACUGCCGGUGACAAACCGGAGGAAGGUGGGGAUGACGUCAAAUCAUCAUGCCCCUUAUGACCUGGGCUACACACGUGCUACAAUGGACAGAACAAAGGGCAGCGAAACCGCGAGGUUAAGCCAAUCCCACAAAUCUGUUCUCAGUUCGGAUCGCAGUCUGCAACUCGACUGCGUGAAGCUGGAAUCGCUAGUAAUCGCGGAUCAGCAUGCCGCGUGAAUACGUUCCCGGUCCUGUACACAUCUGUCUCGUCACACCACGAGAGUUGUACACCGAAGUCGGUGGAGGUUACAUUAGGAUCAGUCGCGAGUGGACAGAAUGGAUGGGGUGAGUCGUAACAAGCGUUACCGUAU
Molecule: ribosomal RNA, 1139 nt
Filed under: Bacillus subtilis
Lineage: Bacteria; Bacillati; Bacillota; Bacilli; Caryophanales; Bacillaceae
Description: bacterial SSU rRNA
Rfam family: Bacterial small subunit ribosomal RNA
Source: RNAcentral